GUAGGGGUUAGGGUUUAGGGACAUGGACUGUUCUGUAGUGUUGUGGUUAGGGGUUAGGGACAUGGACUGUUCUGUAGUGUAGUGGUUAGAGACAUGGACUUUUCUGAAGUGUAGGGGUUAGGGACAUGGACUGUUCUGUAGUGUAUCGGUUAAGGGUUAGGGACAUGGACUGUUCUGUAGUGUAGGGGUUAGGGGUUAGGGACAUGGACUGUUCUGUAGUGUAGGUGUUAGGGACAUGGACUGUUCUGUAGUGUAGGGGUUAGGGGUUAGGGACAUGGACUGUUCUGUAGUGUAGGUGUUAGGGACAUGGACUGUUCUGUAGUGUAGAGGUUAGGGACAUGGACUCUUCUGUAGUGGAGGGGUUAGGGGUUUGGGACAUGGACUGUUCUGUAGUGUAGUGGUUAGGGAUAUGGACUGUUCUGUAGUGUAGGGGUUAGGGGUUAGGGACAUGGACUGUUCUGUAGUGUAGGGGUUAGGGGUUAGGGACAUGGACUGUUCUGUAGUGUAGGGGUUAGUGGUUAGGGACAUGGGCUGUUCUGUAGUGUAGGGGUUAGGGACAUGGACUGUUCUGUAGUGUAGGGGUUAGGGACAUGGACUGUUCAGUAGUGUAGUGGUUAGGAUAUGGACUGUUCUGUAUGUAGGGGUUAGGGGUUAGGGACAUGGACUGUUCUGUAGUGUAGGGGUUAGGGGUUAGGGACAUGGACUGUUCUGUAGUGUAGGGGUUAGUGGUUAGGGACAUGGACUGUUCUGUAGUGUAGGGGUUAGGGGUUAGGGACAUGGACUGUUCAGUAGUGUAGGGGUUAGGGACAUGGACUGUUCUGUAGUGUAGUGAUUAAGGACAUGGACUGUUCUGUAGUGUAGGGGUUAGGGACAUGGACUGUUCUGUAGUGUAGUGGUUAGGGACAUGGACUGUUCUGUAGUGUAGGGGUUAGGGGUUAGGGACAUGGACUGUUCUGUAGUGUAGUGGUUAGGGACAUGUACUGUUCUGUAGUGUAGUGGUUAGGGACAUGGACUGUUCUGUAGUGUAGGGGUUAGGGGUUAGGGACAUGGACUGUUCUGUAGUGUAGGGGUUAGGGGUUAGGGACAUGGACUGUUCUGUAGUGUAGUGGUUAGGGACAUGGACUGUUCUGUAGUGUAGGGGUUAGGGGUUAGGGACAUGGACUGUUCUGUAGUGUAGGGGUUAGUGGUUAGGGACAUGGACUGUUCUGUAGUGUAGGG
Molecule: long non-coding RNA, 1218 nt
Filed under: Salmo salar (Atlantic salmon)
Lineage: Eukaryota; Metazoa; Chordata; Actinopteri; Salmoniformes; Salmonidae
Description: lncRNA (ENSSSAG00000110841.1)
Source: RNAcentral